CUGACGCUGUAAAUUUGAAGUCUAUAUUAGCACUGGAUCCACGGAAACUAAUGUAAUUGGAGAGGGAGGAGAAGGAGAAAAUAAUUCAGAAAUACAGAGGAGCUAGGCAAGGAGCGGUGAUAGAUUGCUCCAGAAAGGCGAAAGAAUCAUCUGAAAGGAAUGUGGAGAUCAGAGAAAAAUGAUGGGAAAGUUACCACAGCCUGCAAAUGAGAAAUGAUGAGAGCCUGCCUGGGGUAAGGCAGUUGUGUGGGACGGAAAGGAAGCACUAGAUGAGGCAGAUGCUUAGGUGGAGCAAGAACAGGGCAGGAGAAGCAAGUAAAGGAGGGGACUGAGGGACGAAAGGGGCCUAGAGCUCUGGAGGGCUUUAGUGGGGCCAUCAUUGCAGGAAGGGGAUCAGGAAUAGAUUUGAGUCCAGAUAAGACAAUUAGGUUAUUUUUGAAUAUAUCAAGCAUGUAGUACUGGAGAUAUUCACUGUGCACAGAAGUUUGUUGUUCUGGAGAGCUGUCAUCCUGGAGUCUUGGAUUUGGGCAGGUGGUGGGUGUGGUCAGCUAAGGAUCGAAUGGGGCGGACAUAUGGGGAGCUGGAGCCAAGACCCAGGAUUAUCAAUACUUAAUAGACAUUUUAAUAAAUAGCCAUAAGCACAUUUCUAUUAAAUUAAUUCCUUUUUUCUUUCUUCUUCAUGUUGCAAUAUGACCUGUUUGAGAGAAUAUUGAGCUGAACUCCUUGGGCAUGAAUUGGGAUCUGUUUCUGG
RNAcentral lists this long non-coding RNA (751 nucleotides) under Homo sapiens (human). Its description in RNAcentral is "HSALNT0246975". The record is from RNAcentral. Lineage: Eukaryota; Metazoa; Chordata; Mammalia; Primates; Hominidae.